UGUGUUCAGUGCAGCAGCUGCGAGGAUCGGAGAAAACUCUCUCACUCACCCUCCCGUGUCUCGGAUACUUUACGGUCCAACGGACGCGCCGCCCGCCCUGUUUCCAAUCACCCGUUCGGGAGCGGAGAACCGUCCCGUCUUGAGAUGAUGUCGAGUCUCGGUCUGUUCGUGUGUCUGGUGGUUCUGACGGUGUCCGUUACCGGCGGCAGCGACGGAAACCCGCUGGACAAUGAUAAGUGGAUGAGCACCGUGUCCCAGUACGGCAAGAGCAAAUACUGGAACAAAUUCCGCGACGUGAUGACUUCAGAG
Molecule: long non-coding RNA, 309 nt
Organism: Sinocyclocheilus anshuiensis
Lineage: Eukaryota; Metazoa; Chordata; Actinopteri; Cypriniformes; Cyprinidae
Exons: 3
Source: RefSeq, a predicted model, not a curated record